GAUGUCAGUUUGGGUAAGUGGCAUGGAAAUGUCUACCGCGGAGGGUGAAAGUCCCGUCCAGCCCAUUCAGGACAUUUCGCACGAAGUUGCUCAUAUGAGUCGCGUAGCUUGUGAAUGCUGCGCUAAGUCGGUGGUAAAUCUCAUCGAAGGCUAAAUACUGGUAGGAGACCGAUAGUGAACAAGUACCGUGAGGGAAAGAUCAAAAGCACUUUGAAAAGAGGGUGAAAAGAACCUGAAACCGUUACGACAGAAGCGUAUUGCGUUGAAUUGAGGGCUGUUUAACUCUUCAGCUGAACGUGAGUUUAGUGUACUGAGUUAAGUAGUUAUCCGUCGUGCCUUUUCUGUGGCUGAUAUUGAGCCGCGGGAGAGGGAGGGAUCCCCUUUAUGGGUGAGGACGAUGGAGUGGCAACGCGAUGCGACCCGUCUUGAAACACGGACCAAGGAGUCUAACAUGUUUGCGAGUUGAAGGGUAGUAAACCUGGAGGCGCAGUGAAAGCGAACUUCUAAAACGGACAGUUUGUGGCGGCAUAAAAUCGUUGAUUUUAGGUCUGACUAAGAGCAAAUAUGUUAGGACCCGAAAGAUGGUGAACUAUGCUUGAGUAGGCCGAAGGCAGAAGAAAUUCUGCUGGAGGGCCGAAGCGGUGCUGACGUGCAAAUCGCUCGUCGAACUCGAGUAUAGGGGCGAAAGACUAAUCGAACCAUCUAGUAGCUGGUUCCCUCCGAAGUUUCUCUCAGGAUAGCGGGCCGACAAUUAUUGUUUUGUGCGGUAAAGCGAAUGAUUAGCGCACUCGGGGGCAUUCAGUCUUCGGUCGAUUCUCAAACUUUUAAUGCGCAAGGGGGCUGCAGCUUAGGUGUGCGGCUCCUCUAAAAAUGUCGGCCUUGUGGGCCACUUUUGGUAAGCAGAACUGGCGAUGUGGGAUGAACCAUACGCGUGGUUAAGGCGCCA
This 946-nucleotide ribosomal RNA is filed under the name Lomentaria articulata. RNAcentral describes it as "eukaryotic LSU rRNA". It matches the Rfam family "Eukaryotic large subunit ribosomal RNA", at positions 168 to 1190 of the family's 3401-position model. The record is from RNAcentral. Lineage: Eukaryota; Rhodophyta; Florideophyceae; Rhodymeniales; Lomentariaceae.